Molecule: RNase P RNA, 359 nt
Filed under: Bacillota bacterium
Lineage: Bacteria; Bacillati; Bacillota
Also listed under: 3 other names
Description: RNase P RNA component class A
Rfam family: Bacterial RNase P class A
About the family: Ribonuclease P (RNase P) is a ubiquitous endoribonuclease, found in archaea, bacteria and eukarya as well as chloroplasts and mitochondria. Its best characterised activity is the generation of mature 5'-ends of tRNAs by cleaving the 5'-leader elements of precursor-tRNAs.
Source: RNAcentral
UGAGUAAGUCGGAUAAUCGCGGGUACAGUGCCGAAAGGCCGUAUCUGAGGAAAGUCCGGGCUCCACAGGGCAAGGGUGCCGGGUAACUCCCGGUGAAGGCGACUUCAAGGAAAGUGCAACAGAAAUAUACCGCUUGUUGCGUAGUUUUCACGCAGCAAGUAAGGGUGGAAAGGUGAGGUAAGAGCUCACCAGCGGCAUGGCGACUUGCCGGUCUAUGUAAACCCCAUCCGGAGCAACACCGCAGAGGGACAUGAUGGCGGCCCGCCAGUCCCGGGCAGGUGGCUUGAGCCAUACAGCGAUGUAUGGCCCAGACAGAUGAUUAUCCAAGACAGAACCCGGCUUACAGACUUACUCAUCAG